This 73-nucleotide transfer RNA is filed under the name Hemiphyllodactylus titiwangsaensis (Titiwangsa slender gecko). Its description in RNAcentral is "tRNA-Trp". It matches the Rfam family "tRNA". From Rfam's summary of the family: Transfer RNA (tRNA) molecules are approximately 80 nucleotides in length. Their secondary structure includes four short double-helical elements and three loops (D, anti-codon, and T loops). The record is from RNAcentral. Lineage: Eukaryota; Metazoa; Chordata; Lepidosauria; Squamata; Gekkonidae.
AAAUUUAGGUUAGAGCCCAAACCAAGGGCCUUCAAAGCCCUAAAUGUGAGUAACCAAACCCUCAUAGUUUCUG